Molecule: ribosomal RNA, 790 nt
Filed under: Salmonella enterica
Lineage: Bacteria; Pseudomonadati; Pseudomonadota; Gammaproteobacteria; Enterobacterales; Enterobacteriaceae
Description: partial 23S ribosomal RNA
Rfam family: Bacterial large subunit ribosomal RNA
Source: RNAcentral
AGGCUGUCUCCACCCGAGACUCAGUGAAAUUGAACUCGCUGUGAAGAUGCAGUGUACCCGCGGCAAGACGGAAAGACCCCGUGAACCUUUACUAUAGCUUGACACUGAACAUUGAGCCUUGAUGUGUAGGAUAGGUGGGAGGCUUUGAAGCGUGGACGCCAGUCUGCGUGGAGCCGACCUUGAAAUACCACCCUUUAAUGUUUGAUGUUCUAACGUGGACCCGUUACCCGGGUUGCGGACAGUGUCUGGUGGGUAGUUUGACUGGGGCGGUCUCCUCCUAAAGAGUAACGGAGGAGCACGAAGGUUGGCUAAUCCUGGUCGGACAUCAGGAGGUUAGUGCAAUGGCAUAAGCCAGCUUGACUGCGAGCGUGACGGCGCGAGCAGGUGCGAAAGCAGGUCAUAGUGAUCCGGUGGUUCUGAAUGGAAGGGCCAUCGCUCAACGGAUAAAAGGUACUCCGGGGAUAACAGGCUGAUACCGCCCAAGAGUUCAUAUCGACGGCGGUGUUUGGCACCUCGAUGUCGGCUCAUCACAUCCUGGGGCUGAAGUAGGUCCCAAGGGUAUGGCUGUUCGCCAUUUAAAGUGGUACGCGAGCUGGGUUUAGAACGUCGUGAGACAGUUCGGUCCCUAUCUGCCGUGGGCGCUGGAGAACUGAGGGGGGCUGCUCCUAGUACGAGAGGACCGGAGUGGACGCAUCACUGGUGUUCGGGUUGUCAUGCCAAUGGCACUGCCCGGUAGCUAAAUGCGGAAGAGAUAAGUGCUGAAAGCAUCUAAGCACGAAACUUGCCCCGA